CACUCAUUCAAAGAGUGCGUAAUAGCUCACUGGUCGAGUGAUCCUGCGCCGAAGAUUUCCGGGGCUAAAACUUACUACCGAAGCUACGGCAUCAGUAAUGAUGGGUAGGGGAGCUUCCCAUACGGGUUGAAGCAUGACCGUAAGGACAUGUGGACAGUAUGGGAGUGAGAAUGUUGGCAUGAGUAGCGAGAUGUGGGUGAGAAUCCCACAGGCCGUAAACCCAAGGUUUCCAGGGGAAGGUUCGUCCGCCCUGGGUUAGUCGGGACCUAAGCUGAGGCCGAAAGGCGUAGGUGAUGGACAACAGGUUGAUAUUCCUGUACUACCGAUAACCGUGUGAGAGAAGGGAUGACACAGUAGGAUAAGCUAAGCACACUGUUGGUUAUGUGUGCCCAAGCAUUGAGGCAGUCAAAGUAGGCAAAUACGCUUUGAUAAUGCUGGGAUGUGAUGGGGAGCGAACUUUAGUAGCGAAGUAGCUGAUUUCACACUGUCAAGAAAAGUCUCUAUCGAGGUUAAAGGUACCCGUACCGCAAACCGACACAGGUGGGUGAGGAGAGUAUCCUAAGGCCAGCGAGAGAACUGUUGUU
This 584-nucleotide ribosomal RNA is filed under the name Clostridioides difficile. RNAcentral's name for it is "bacterial LSU rRNA". It matches the Rfam family "Bacterial large subunit ribosomal RNA", at positions 1116 to 1706 of the family's 2925-position model. Lineage: Bacteria; Bacillati; Bacillota; Clostridia; Peptostreptococcales; Peptostreptococcaceae. The record is from RNAcentral.